Aedes aegypti (yellow fever mosquito) is the source of this 748-nucleotide long non-coding RNA. RefSeq lists it as uncharacterized. The transcript has 2 exons. NCBI's taxonomy places the organism in Eukaryota, Metazoa, Arthropoda, Insecta, Diptera, Culicidae. The record is from RefSeq and is a predicted model, not a curated record.
UAUGGCAGAGAAACUUGCUGUUUGGUUGGCAGACUGCCUAUGUAUCAGACGUAUGGAAAGGCGUGCUAUAAUGAUGGAAGAAAGGAAGAAUGGAAGCAUGGGAAACGGAUUGAUUUGUCCGUCUCGGUUUCUAACAAAUUUUAUGAACUGUGGAUAGAUCAACUGUGAUAUAUUAAGAGUGGUAGACAGUAGCAAGUGAAAUAUACAACUACAAAGUACGAGGAAAGGGAUGGGCCUGGGAUUGCCAUUGGACCACCAAUCCCGUCAGUUUAAUCUAGCGAGCAUGUGCGGCCCGAUAUACUGUUUAUGCAAGUUACAAGUUACUGUUAUAAGGACACCCUGGUACCGCCCGAGUGGGGUCAAACAACGUUCGAUGAGUUGGCCAAGUGUGGCGUCCGUGGACAGUUCGUACCGCACCGGAGCGCAAUGCACGAAAUAAAAAAGGACCAAUUGCUACAGGUCAUCAAAUGGGCAAACGAGCUGAUUCCGGAACCCCGAGAGCCAUCACCAUCUCCAUCGCCUCCGCCUGAGCCGGCCAAGAAGACUGUACCUGCCAAAAGGGGAAAACUGUGAUAGAGAUACUGCAAGCUGAGGAUGACUGAUCGGUCCCGUUUUGUUUAUUUUGAAGAGAAUGAUUCGGAGUUCUUUUGUUUUUGGAUGACAAACGCAGGGUGGAAAAAGAGAUUUAGUUCAUUUGAAACGGUUAUCAGCAAGUUGAACUUGUAUAAAGAGUUAAGCUAUUACCGUC